AUUGAACGCUGGCGGCAGGCCUAACACAUGCAAGUCGAACGAGUGGCGGACGGGUGAGUAAUGUCUGGGAAACUGCCUGAUGGAGGGGGAUAACUACUGGAAACGGUAGCUAAUACCGCAUACCAUCGGAUGUGCCCAGAUGGGAUUAGCUAGUAGGUGGUGUAAAGGCUCACCUGGGCGACGAUCCCUAGCUGGGCUGAGAGUAUGACCUGCCACACUGGAACUGAGACACGGUCCAGACUCCUACGGGAGGCAGCAGGGGGGAAUAUUGCACAAUGGGCGCAAGCCUGAUGCAGCCAUGCCGCGUGUAUGAAGAAGGCCUUCGGGUUGUAAAGUACUGUCAGCGGGGAGGCGUUACCAACAGAAUACGCACCGGCUAACUUCGUGCCAGCAGCCGCGGUAAUAC
RNAcentral lists this ribosomal RNA (406 nucleotides) under uncultured bacterium. RNAcentral's name for it is "partial 16S ribosomal RNA". It matches the Rfam family "Bacterial small subunit ribosomal RNA", at positions 30 to 526 of the family's 1533-position model. The record is from RNAcentral.